GACGAACGCUGGCGGCGUGCUUAACACAUGCAAGUCGAACGGUAAGGCCCUUCGGGGUACACGAGUGGCGAACGGGUGAGUAACACGUGGGUGAUCUGCCCUGCACUUCGGGUUAAGCCUGGGAAACUGGGUCUAAUACCGGAUAGGACCCUGGGAUGCAUGUACUGGGGUGGAAAGCUAUUGCGGUGCGGGAUGGGCCCGCGGCCUAUCAGCUUGUUGGUAGGGUGAUGGCCUACCAAGGCGACGAUGGGUAGCUGGGCUGAGAGGGUGACCGGCCACACUGGGACUGAGAGACGGCCCAGACUCCUACGGGAGGCAGCAGUGGGGAAUAUUGCGCAAUGGGCGCAAGCCUGAUGCAGCGACGCCGCGUGAGGGAUGACGGCCUUCGGGUUGUAAACCUCUUUCAGCACAGACGAAGCGCACGUGACGGUAGGUGCAGAAGAAGGACCGGCCAACUACGUGCCAGCAGCCGCCGUAA
Molecule: ribosomal RNA, 478 nt
Filed under: uncultured bacterium
Lineage: Bacteria
Description: partial 16S ribosomal RNA
Rfam family: Bacterial small subunit ribosomal RNA
Source: RNAcentral